Molecule: ribosomal RNA, 526 nt
Filed under: uncultured bacterium
Lineage: Bacteria
Description: bacterial SSU rRNA
Rfam family: Bacterial small subunit ribosomal RNA
Source: RNAcentral
AAUAGAUACCCUGGUAGUCCUAGCCGUAAACGAUGAACACUAGGCGUAGUCGGUAUCGACCCCGGCUGUGCCGUAGCUAACGCAUUAAGUGUUCCGCCUGGGGAGUACGGCCGCAAGGCUAAAACUCAAAGGAAUUGACGGGGGGCCCGCACAAGCAGCGGAGCGUGUGGUUUAAUUCGUCGCAACGCGAAGAACCUUACCAGGGCUUGACAUGUGGCGGAAAACAGCGGAAACGUCGUCCUCCCGCAAGGGACCGUCAUGCAGGUGUUGCAUGGCUGUCGUCAGCUCGUGUCGUGAGAUGUUGGGUUAAGUCCCGCAACGAGCGCAACCCCCGUGGCAUGUUGUAUCUCUCAUGCCAGACUGCCGAGAGAAACUCGGAGGAAGGUGGGGAUGACGCCAAGUCAGCAUGGCCCUUACGUCCUGGGCUACACACACGCUACAAUGGCCGGUACAACGGGUUGCCAAACCGCGAGGUGGAGCUAAUCCCUUAAAGCCGGUCUCAGUUCGGAUUGCAGGCUGCAACUCG